UGAAAGCUCCAGAGCUCUGUCCCUCACCUUCAUGGUGAUGCUUCCCAAAGUGUGCAAGGCAAACUCCUUUCAUUUUUACAGAAGACCACAGGACUCAUUUCCUGUUAUAAACUCUCCUGCCACCCCUCUAGCUUUCCCCCAUAGGAUGCCCGCCUUGCUCUCCAGCAAUACUAGCUUUGGCUCAAUUCUUAGUAAGCUGCAUGCUCCCUUCUACCUUAGAACCUCUGCUCUGGCCUUUCUUCUGCCCAUCUCCAACACCUUCAGAUUUCUGCAGGGAAGCCUUCCCUGAUCCCCACUGAGACUAGGGGUGGUACCUGCAUUUUAUAGUCUCAUAGUUCCUUGUUUUUGCUGUUGUUGUUUUCUAUCAUAGUACUUAACACAUUUGUAAAAUGUAUUUGUGUGAUUAUUUGAUUAACUUCACUCCCAACCCCACUCUUCUCAGCUGCAUGCCUUCCUAUCCCUAUUA
RNAcentral lists this long non-coding RNA (466 nucleotides) under Pan troglodytes (chimpanzee). RNAcentral describes it as "long non-coding RNA NONPTRT016798". The record is from RNAcentral. Lineage: Eukaryota; Metazoa; Chordata; Mammalia; Primates; Hominidae.